AGUGAACGCUGGCGGUAGGCCUAACACAUGCAAGUCGAACGGCAGCACAGUAAGAGCUUGCUCUUACGGGUGGCGAGUGGCGGACGGGUGAGGAAUACAUCGGAAUCUACUUUUUCGUGGGGGAUAACGUAGGGAAACUUACGCUAAUACCGCAUACGACCUACGGGUGAAAGCAGGGGAUCUUCGGACCUUGCGCGAUUGAAUGAGCCGAUGUCGGAUUAGCUAGUUGGCGGGCUAAAGGCCCACCAAGGCGACGAUCCGUAGCUGGUCUGAGAGGAUGAUCAGCCACACUGGAACUGAGACACCGUCCAGACUCCUACGGGAGGCAGCAGUGGGGAAUAUUGGACAAUGGGCGCAAGCCUGAUCCAGCCAUACCGCGUGGGUGAAGAAGGCCUUCGGGUUGUAAAGCCCUUUUGUUGGGAAAGAAAAGCAGCAGGUUAAUACCCCGCUGUUCUGACGGUACCCAAAGAAUAAGCACCGGCUAACUUCGUG
This 492-nucleotide ribosomal RNA is filed under the name uncultured bacterium. RNAcentral describes it as "partial 16S ribosomal RNA". It matches the Rfam family "Bacterial small subunit ribosomal RNA", at positions 29 to 507 of the family's 1533-position model. The record is from RNAcentral.